Molecule: transfer RNA, 95 nt
Organism: Trichoderma harzianum
Lineage: Eukaryota; Fungi; Ascomycota; Sordariomycetes; Hypocreales; Hypocreaceae
Rfam family: tRNA
About the family: Transfer RNA (tRNA) molecules are approximately 80 nucleotides in length. Their secondary structure includes four short double-helical elements and three loops (D, anti-codon, and T loops).
Source: Rfam
GCGACCUUAGCUCAGCUGGGAGAGCGUCAGACUGAAGCCUUUACUUCAAUCACCAGUUUAUCUGAAGGUCGUGUGUUCGAUCCACACAGGUCGCA